CUGUUUUUGACACCAAAUAUGAAAGAUUAUGUUGACACAAACGAGGCUCAUCACCAAUGAACAGUCUCGUCUAGUCAUCUUUUGUUUCAAUUGGCGCAAGUUUUCCUUGUGUCCAGGUCUUCAGCAUCUGUAGUGCAGCUUUGGGUUGAUCCAUAGGAACCAUGUGACCAGCAUUGUGGACCUUGAGAAAAGCGAGAGGUCCAUGGUUCUUUAGCUGUCCCGCUUCUUUACCAUCAACUAGAUAUGGAACAGUCGGAGAUGCCUCAAAAUCUUUCUGACCAGACCAUUUCAUGGCAUGAACCCAAUUUGAAUUCCCUGCAUAAUUACAUAGAAAUUAAACACACCCAUUAGCCAUUGCUGCUCCAACAUAAUAACAAAGCCGUUCAAUCGAAACAAGGAAGCUUACCGAGCCAGUUGCAUAUGAGAUCAUAUUCCCCAGCAUAUAUAAGCAUCUUGAUUCCAUCCUCAAGGAGAGCAGGAAUACCUACUUCCAUAUCCCUCAUCCAGUCCCUCUGCAUGGCAUCAUAUACCACUGUGCUACAUGAAACAAAUUCCACGUCCCCUACUCCUAGAGCCUUCUUAACAGAUUUCAAGCCCAUGAAACUCUCCAGGUUUGAGAAGUCAUAGCACAGGGACCCCUCACAUUGCUUUCUGAUAUCAUAGUACUGCAUGUCACAGACAUAACAUAUUCUUGUCAAAUUUGAAUGUGUUUUUGUUUCUGCAACAUGCUCUCACUGAUACAAGGAAAGAAUUCCUGUGCUUUCUUACAUUUAUAUUACCAGCGACAUUCAGGAUGCUAUUGAAGAUAAAAUUGCAGUUAGUAUAUGCAGUCUCACAGGCGUCUCCACCGUCAGGGCCUGGCAUGAUACUUGAAAUAUUAGAAGGAGAAAGAGCAAAGUUUCCAUUAUUAUGGCUCCUACAUAGAUUUUAUGUUAUCUUCCUUUUCCACAGAGACACUGGAAGCGAGGAAUUAGAAUAAUUACCACAAGAUUUUGCCGAUUCUUCACACUCUGGAAUCAACUCGUUGAUACUAUCAUAAUCAGAUUUUCCAAUAAUCUUCAUGUUCAAUGCAUAAUCAGUAUAUGCCUUGUAUUGGAUUGAAGGAUCAGUAAGACCAUUACCAAUUGCAAAUCCCUGUUUGGACAUUUGAAGUUGACAACAAAGUUACAAAUGGAGCAAACAACCAAGGUAACCGAGAUGGAUCAAAUUCAAAAAUAUACCUUAAGGUUUAUAUGAACCCCUUCGUUUGCUUUGUUUCCUUUCUGAACCCGAGCAGCAAACGCAGGAAUGUAGUGGCCAGCGUAUGAUUCUCCAGUUAUGUAAAAGUCAUUCUUCACGAACUCAGGAUGCUUUGCAAAAAAUGCCUGACAUUACAGGGUUUUACACUUUCUGAGAAUCAAUAACAUGAAGGAUUUUACAGUUGACAAGAGUGAUUUGCACAAAGAGGUAUACGUAAAUGUUUUAGAUUUGGCACAGAAAGAUAAGGAGACGCAGAGUGACCUGCAUAAAAUCAUAUAGAUCGUUGCUAACAGCCUCUUCAUUGUGGCGAAUGUCACCCUCAUCGGAACUAUAACUGAAGCCUGUUCCAGUAGGCUGGUCUACAAACAGAAUGUUCGAUACCUGAAAAAUGAGAAUAUAACUUGUAUAAACUCUCACAUGACAUGAUCGCCAAUCAUGCUAAUUUGGCAGUGUUUCUGUCUGAAACAUUUUUAGUGAAAAUCACUUGUCAAAUACUUCUUCAGGAAUCACUACAAAUAAUUUUUCAACUUUUUGAAAGUGUUUUGUAAAUUUUAUGGAAUGUCUUGUUUUUUUUCAAAAAUACUUUUUAAGUUAAAAAUGCUUUCUAAAACUAGAAUUGCUUUCUAAAAAAUACUGUUAAAUGGAAAAAACAUUUUUUAGGCUAAAAAUCAUUAAGAAAGGACUCUAAAUAAAAGAAAUCAGAAAGAAAAACUAGAAUACCUGGUCCCAACCAUACUGGUUCCAUGAUAGAGUCAAGUUAUCUCUUACAUGAAAAGGACCAUUUUCAUAAAAUAAAGCUACUUCACUGCCACAUCCUGGGCCACCGGUCAACCACACAACAACUGGGUCCUUCUUGCUGUGCCGGGAUUCGAAGAAAAAGUAAAACAUCCUACAGUCCAGAACAAGAAACAAUGCAGAGAUUUUUUCAAUAAUCAAACACCCUCCCUUCAUGAAAGUAAAUUUGAAACAUUUGAUGAAUACAUUAAUCCAAUGACAUUUUGACCUCAAAUUUAUUACAAACAAAUAAAUUAAUCACCAGAAUGCAGAAAGACUAUAUCAGAAAUUGAUUCAUAUAAAUAUGAAGGUACCUAGAAUAUGAACAAGGCCACACAACUUACCUUGCAUCUAUAGAAUGAGCGAGCCUAAAGUAGCCAGCAUGGUGCCCAAGGUCCUGAAUGGAAGUCCCAGAAGACCCAUCAAGAAAAGGGAACUCAAGACUCUUUUCAAUCAUCCUGGGAGCCACAGCUUCUCCAUGACUAACAUCCAGGUUUACAGCCUUUUUAGGUGACAAGUUGAGGCUUCUUAUGAGCCUUUCUGCUUGCAUUUUUGGAGAAUUCAAAGCUGAAGACAUGCGAAGAUGGGUCUUGUCCACUCUUGCAGCUGAGAAUUGUGAAGAGAUGAGAACAAGGAGAAGAGAGAGAAAGUGGAGAGAGAAAGUUGACGCCAUUGUUGCGUGUCUGUGUGCGGGUUCUGGAGGUCUAGUUGGUGACAUUUAUAAGAUAAACUAUGCUUAAAGAUAACGGCCCUCAGUCCGUUACUUCACUCCAACAAUUAAUAUUCACAUCUCAAUAGAUUGAAAUUGGGAAAAAAGGGAUUCUAUGCAAGGAAACACAGCACUACAUUUGAUAAUGCAAUACAAAGGCAAAUUAAUGAGUUAGAAUAAUUGGAAAAUAGAUUAAAAUAAUUUAUAUAAUUAAAGUAUUUUAGAUAAAUAAUUUACAUUUUAAUAAUUUAAAAAGGAAAUAAUUUCAUUAAAAGGAGUUAUAAUAUUAUAAAUUAAAUAGAAAAUGAGUAGAAAUUAAAUUAUAAUAUAAAUGCAUAUAUAGAUUUAUAAUAGCAUACAUUACAUGGAGUUAAUUAAUAUUGAAAAUAGUUUCAAUAAUUUUUACAUAUCUACUAAUAUCUUGACAUAUUUUUUUUUUAAUAUCUUUUUCUUAAAAUUCUCAUCACAAGAAAGUAUACUCAAUUAAUAUUGAAAAUAAUUUCAGUAAUUUUUACAUGCCCACUAAGAUUUUGAUAGAUUUUCUUCUUAUUCUCUCAAAUUCUUCUUUACAAUUUUAUUUCCUUCCCUAAAUAAAAUCUAUUUAUGUUUUUCUUCAAUUUCAGAAUUAAUUAUUUUGAUAUUGUCUAUGAUUUGUAAUUUUUAUUUAGUUUUUUUAAAAAAAAAAAAAUUUAAAAUGUUCCACACCCAAGUCCUCGAAAAUUUAUCUCAUUAUUGGUUUAUCUUCAAUAAAUGGGUAAGGCUAUAACCAUAAAUACAUAAGUUGUAUAAAACUAUGAAUGUAAGAACUUUUAUUUAUUUAUUUUGUAUUAUCUUGUUAUGUCUUGCCCCAUCCCAAUUAUAUAUAUAUAUAUAUAAUUAAUAAAAAAAAUAUUGUAAUUUAUUUUUUAUUUCUCCUUUUUAACACAAGAUGAAAAAUAUCUAAUUUUCAAAACAACAAAUUAUAAAUAUUUAUAAUAUUUAUUUAUUUAUAUAUUAUAUUUAUUUUCAAUGUAAUUCAAAAUUCUAAAACCAAAUAUUUGAAAAAAAAAAUAAACAAAAUAAACAGGGUGGGGCAUAUGGUAAUGAAAAAUUCUAAUCCCACCCUUGCCCCUUCAAUUUUUUUAUUUGACCCUGUCUCGUUGUCAUCUUUAUAUAAAGUCAACUAUGUAAUCUAAAUUUACUUGCCUGAAUGCACAACCACAAUAUGAAUCCUAAUGUAAACCAUAAUAUAUACCAAACUUCUCAAAUACACUAAUAUAUGAAACAUUAUACAUUGCAUUCAAGUUUUUGUUUAAGUGACAAGACAUCUUUUUGCACUAAGCUUCAUAUGAGGUGUUAAAUGAAUGCUUAUACAUUAAGUCUCAAAACUUACAAUGAAGCAUUGAAGGACAACUUAGAAUAUUGCUUUUACAACAAUCCAAGAAGCCUCCUUUUUAUAUUCUCUAACGUUUUGCAUCCCUAAAAUUCCUUCUCCAUGAUCCUUCAUUUCAAAUCAACUCUUAAUCGAUUUUUCAACAUUUCAAUUAUUAUCGUACUUUUACACACAAUAAAUAAAUAAAUAAAUAAAUAAAAUCAUCAAUAGACAUGAGCAAAUAAACAAAGUUUUCAUCAAACAAUUUUCUAAACAAACACAAUUAUCAAAUUAAUAUUUGAUGUAAUUCUCCCCUCUCAUAAAAUGAUCAAACCAUUUGUACUACUAUCAAGUAGAUUAUUUCAAACCAUAUAUAAAAACAUAUUAUUUUUCGGGUUCUUUAUAACCUUUAGGUUGGAUUCAUAUAUAUCUCCUCAUCUAAAUUACCAUGAAAAAAAGAUAAUUUUCACAUCCAAUAACAUAACUCGAAAUCAAUAUGAUACCCUUAGGGGGUGUUUGGUACACGGGAAUAGGGAGUGAGAAUAGACAUCUCAUUCCUUUUCUCCCUUAUUCCUAUGUUUGGAUAAAUGUUAAGAAGACGGAAAUGAAAUAAAAAAUUAUUCAGGCAGAAAUCAAAUCCAACUUAUGAGUCGGAUUUGUAUUCAUUAAAAAUAGGUGGUAUUCUGAUUCAUUAAACUUAUUUGAUAAUAUAAAAUAACCUAAAUUAUUAUUUUACCCUCUUAUCUUGUUCUUCAAACCCGAUGUUUAUCUUUUUUGUAAAGGUAGAGAUCCAUUCAUCAUCCACUUCUUAUCUUCUUUGCAAAGCUAGAGACUCACUCAUCAUCCAAUUCUUUGCAACAAGUGAUUCUUCCAAAUUGAAUCAAUUAAACCUUCCACGAUAUUUUAAAAAAAAAAUCAAUUUCUAAUUUAUAGGGUUUUGGAUGUUCAUUUUGAUUGUUGGAUCUAGGAUUCGUCAUUAUUUGCUGCAACUAGGUUCUGAAAACUCCCUUCUACAUCUUCGAUCAGGUUUACCUUAUUUUCUCUUUCUUCUUCUACUUCUUUAUAUGUGUUUCUUCUUCUCUAUAAAUCAAUUAAUUUUUUUUUUAUUAAUUUAUAUUUGGAAUCUUUUAUGUUUCUUUAUCUUAUAUUAAUGGAAACUAGAGAGAAAAAUUGAAAUGGUUGGAAAAAGAUUUUUCGAUUUCACGUGUUUACAAUAUUGAAAAUUUUUAAUGGUUAGGAAAAAAAUAAAAAGAAAAAAACAAACAAAAACAAAACUUUUGAUUUUUUUUUUCCCUUUGUUUAUUAUUAUCAGCGUCUUCCUUUCCUAGUUAAAGCUAUGAAUUCUUUUAUUUCCUCUUUUGAAAAUAGGAAAAACAUUUGCUAGCUUUGAAAAUUUAAAUAUUAUAAUAAAUAAUUUUUUUUAAAAAAAAAAUAAUUUUAUAACUACUUAAGCAUGACAAAUUAUUCAAAUGUUUAAUAAAAAUAAUAAUUGAAUAUUUGUGCAUUAGGUUAUACGAUUUUUUAUGGUUAAUUUUUUAUUUAUUGAGUAUGUAUAUAUUUUUUAGUCUUAUUAUUUAAUAACAAAAAAUCUCUCAAAUUUUAUUUUUUUAAAAUAAAAGUAAAAAUAAAAAAAAUUAAAUUAUAUGUAAAGAUAUUAUUGUAAAUUUAUUUCAUUUUCAUUUUCAUUCCUAUUAUUAUCAAACAUUGAAAUGGAAACAAAUAAUCAUUCCAAUUUUGCAUUCCUAAGUUCAUCCAAAUGCUAGAAAUGGAAUCAUCACAUUCAUUCCAUUCCACUAAGAAAUAGGAAAGGAAACAAAAUAUUAUUUUCAUUUCUUAUUCCGACGUACCAAACACUCCCUUAUGGUAUACUAUCUUUUCCUCACAAUCCCUAUUUCUUUUUUAUACAACUUGUAUUACUCCCUACCAUUUUCUGAUCAGUCUCUUAAUUUUCUUUCCAAUGUAGUUUGCAGUCAUGGUUUUAUACUUUUGGGGAAUAUUGUGCUUCCUACAAGUGUACCUCCUUGUAAAAGUACAAGUGUUAUCAUGCGGAUUGCCCUAGGUAGAAAUCAAAGCAAAAUUUGAAUCAUACCUUCUUUUUUUUUCAAGUGUCCCUUAUGGCAAAUCCAUGGAUACCAUCUAGACCGAUUGUCGGAUAGUAGUCAUGGUUCCGGUUCAGUCUAUUCCCCUCGGUCCCCCCGCCCCUUAGCUGCCCAUCUCCAUCACCCACUGCCCAACGCGCUGCCACCGUUACUAUUGCCACCGGCCCGUCGUGCUGCCGCCAACGAGGAGGUGAAAUCCAUUUUCGUGAGAUUAUUAUUUAAUUUAGAAUUUAGAAUUUAUAUUUUUUUUACUUUAUUUGCACUUUUAAUUUCCAUAUUUUAUUAUUUUAUUUUCAUUUUCAUAUUCCAUAUUUUAUUAUUUUAUUUUCAUUUCCAUAUUCCAUAUUUUAUUUUCAUUUCCACAUAUGAAGAAGCAAAUAUUAAUACUUUUUGUUUUAUUCUAAUAAUAUAUAAAAUACAUAUAUUUAUGACUUCACUUUGUUUGAUAAUUGAUCUAAUCAAUAAAUCAAAAGAUAAUUUUAUCGUUUUAAUGAUGGAUCUAAUUCUGAAAAUAUUGGUGGAUACACACCUUUCUCGUGAGUGCGUUGGCGUGGAGGACCUGUAGAGUGCACGAAAUUUGAUAUCAACAUAAAGAAUUAGCCCACUUGGGAAAAAAAUCGAAAUAUUAUUGACUGGUCUUUACAGCCCUGUGAAGAUCAAAGAAUGGCUAAUCCCUCCCCAACUGCUGUUUUUGAAACAAUAUAUGAAAGAUUAUGUUGACACAGACAAGCCUCUUCAUCACCAGGUAGUCUCAUCUUUUAUUUUUGGCGCAAGUUUUCCUUGUGUCCAGGUCUUCAGCAUCUGUAGUGCAGCUUUGGGCUGAUCCAUGGGAACCAUGUGACCAGCAUUGUGGACCUUGAGAAAAGCGAGACGUCCAUGGUACUUUAGCUGUCCCGCUUCUUUACCAUCAACUAGAUAUGGAACAGUCGGAGAUGC
Molecule: long non-coding RNA, 7108 nt
Filed under: Vitis vinifera (wine grape)
Lineage: Eukaryota; Viridiplantae; Streptophyta; Magnoliopsida; Vitales; Vitaceae
Description: long non-coding RNA (VVIN_LNC001941)
Source: RNAcentral